This 1402-nucleotide ribosomal RNA is filed under the name uncultured bacterium. Its description in RNAcentral is "16S ribosomal RNA". It matches the Rfam family "Bacterial small subunit ribosomal RNA". The record is from RNAcentral.
AGAGUUUGAUCCUGGCUCAGGAUGAACGCUAGCGGCAGGCUUAACACAUGCAAGUCGAGGGGCAGCGGGGAGGAAGCUUGCUUUCUCCGCCGGCGACCGGCGCACGGGUGAGUAACACGUAUGCAACCUGCCCCUGUCAGGGGGACAACCCGCCGAAAGGCGGGCUAAACCCGCGUACAUGCCACCGGGGCAUCCCGGAGGCAGGAAAGGCUUCGGCCGGACAGGGAUGGGCAUGCGGCGCAUUAGGCAGUAGGCGGGGUAACGGCCCACCUAACCGACGAUGCGUAGGGGUUCUGAGAGGAAGGUCCCCCACACUGGUACUGAGACACGGACCAGACUCCUACGGGAGGCAGCAGUGAGGAAUAUUGGUCAAUGGUCGGGAGACUGAACCAGCCAAGCCGCGUGAGGGAGGAAGGUACAGAGUAUCGUAAACCUCUUUUGUCAGGGAACAAAGGCGGGGACGUGUCCCCGGGUGAGUGUACCUGAAGAAAAAGCAUCGGCUAACUCCGUGCCAGCAGCCGCGGUAAUACGGAGGAUGCGAGCGUUAUCCGGAUUUAUUGGGUUUAAAGGGUGCGCAGGCGGUCUGUUAAGUCAGCGGUCAAAGCCCGGGGCUCAACCCCGGCCCGCCGUUGAAACUGGCAGUCUCGAGUUGGAGAGAAGUAUGCGGAAUGCGCGGUGUAGCGGUGAAAUGCAUAGAUAUCGCGCAGAACUCCGAUUGCGAAGGCAGCAUGCCGGCUCCACACUGACGCUGAGGCACGAAAGCGUGGGUAUCGAACAGGAUUAGAUACCCUGGUAGUCCACGCAGUAAACGAUGAAUGCUGGCUGUCUGGGGGGAUUGACCCCUGGGUGGCGAAGCGAAAGCGAUAAGCAUUCCACCUGGGGAGUACGCCGGCAACGGUGAAACUCAAAGGAAUUGACGGGGGCCCGCACAAGCGGAGGAACAUGUGGUUUAAUUCGAUGAUACGCGAGGAACCUUACCCGGGCUCAAACGGGGAGUGACUCAGGCAGAGACGCCUGUUUCCCACGGGACACUCCCCGAGGUGCUGCAUGGUUGUCGUCAGCUCGUGCCGUGAGGUGUCGGCUUAAGUGCCAUAACGAGCGCAACCCCCGCGUGCAGUUGCUAACAGAUAACGCUGAGGACUCUGCACGGACUGCCGGCGCAAGCCGCGAGGAAGGCGGGGAUGACGUCAAAUCAGCACGGCCCUUACGUCCGGGGCGACACACGUGUUACAAUGGGUGGUACAGCGGGAAGCCAGGCGGCGACGCCGAGCGGAACCCGAAAUCCACUCUCAGUUCGGAUCGGAGUCUGCAACCCGACUCCGUGAAGCUGGAUUCGCUAGUAAUCGCGCAUCAGCCAUGGCGCGGUGAAUACGUUCCCGGGCCUUGCACUCACCGCCCGUCA